CGGACUGUAGUGUUAACGGUAGCACGCGUGGCUGGGGGUCAUGUAGUCCGGGUUCGAAUCCCGGCAGUCCGA
RNAcentral lists this transfer RNA (72 nucleotides) under bacterium. Its description in RNAcentral is "tRNA-Pro". It matches the Rfam family "tRNA". From Rfam's summary of the family: Transfer RNA (tRNA) molecules are approximately 80 nucleotides in length. Their secondary structure includes four short double-helical elements and three loops (D, anti-codon, and T loops). The record is from RNAcentral. RNAcentral also lists the same sequence under 1 other name.